GCUGGGUGCGGUGGCGCACACCUGUGAUCCCAGCAGCUCAGGAGGUCGAGUCAGGAGGAUCAUGAGUUCAAAACCAGCCUCAGCAAAAAGCAAGGUGCUAAGCAACUCAGUGAGACCCUGUCUCUA
RNAcentral lists this small RNA (126 nucleotides) under Marmota monax (woodchuck). Lineage: Eukaryota; Metazoa; Chordata; Mammalia; Rodentia; Sciuridae. The record is from RNAcentral.